This 398-nucleotide long non-coding RNA is filed under the name Cucumis sativus (cucumber). RNAcentral's name for it is "long non-coding RNA (CSAT_LNC000011)". Lineage: Eukaryota; Viridiplantae; Streptophyta; Magnoliopsida; Cucurbitales; Cucurbitaceae. The record is from RNAcentral.
CAUGUCGGGAAUAAGGGGGGACAUACUAGACGUAAGCACUCCUGGGGGCUGUGCCGCCCUGCCUUUCGAUCGAUACACAGUUGAGUAGGCCGAUCACGAACGCUAGAGGUGUGGGAGCGAUCCAGGUCAGGGAAGGCUAAGACGGCGCCUCGCAUAUGGGUAGCAAGAGGGCGCUUAUGCCCCGACGGUGGGGCCUUAUGGGGAAGGGCCCAGCCCAAUAGGGACAGCACACCCCCCACUGAAAGCGCACCUCUGUAUCGACUUCUCUUUCAGUCUAGUCGGUGGAACCGGUGAACCACGCGAGCAGGUUACAUGCGUGGGGCAGAGGGCUCGUAGUACCCCCUUUUCUUGAUCCAGCCCUUUCUUCGCUUCGGUAGUGACUACUCAAAAAAGAGGCA